ACGCGCAUCAUCGCUGCUAUCGAACACGUAGCGCACACACCCCGCCGCCUCUCGCACUGCAGUGGCGGGCCGCGCUCACCUUUGUCGCUCUCUUUCCUUCGCCGUGCUCAACUCCCCGUUCAUGUUUGCUUGCUUGGCUUUUUCUGGGCCCUUCCCACCUAGUUCCGCGCUCUCCCUGCAACGCGAAAGUUGUGGUGACGCGCUUCGACGGAUUGCCGUGCUCAGAGCGAGAAGAGAGGGGCGGGGCGCGUCUUCCUCCGUCAGAUCCUCAGAGGGGGUGUGCCGCGCCUCGGCGCUUUUCGUGGUCGAUGUCGCUUCCCAUGCGGAGCUUUGCCAUGUCCUUCAGCCGCAGGCCCCACUGCCACUCCACGGCGCUGCAGCAUUACCUGGCAGUCCCGCAAACCCCGUUAGAUCUGCCGGCUUUGAGUAAGCUACCUGCCCAGCCGGUAGAGAACGGCGUUGUGCAUCAGAUUGUGCGAGAGAUGGCCAUCCGCACCUCGAGGUGCUACCAAUCGUUCUCCGACCCCAUCAUCCAGAAAACAAUGCGCAAGCCAAACGUGGAUCGGCUCUGGUGGGUCAAAUCAUAUGUCCUCCGCGAGUUUAACUACUGCGUCGCGCUCCACCGCGGCCUGGAACAGUGCCCUCGACAAGGGAUUUUCGACAGCUCGGCCGAAAUCUGCUUUGAGCGGCACGAGUACGGCAGCUCACCCUCCCUGUUUCCGCGUCUCCGAAACACGGACAACGACAGCCUCAUUUACGAGCCCGUGCAGACCUACUCCAGCAGUGACAGCGUCAGCAGUUGUGCACCUCGCGACGCCGAGGACGACACCAUCUCCGCCGGCGCCCCCUCCUCGACCUCGACGUCAGCGCCUAGCACUUUUCGUCCUCUCGGGUUACUGUCAAACCCUGCCAUGACGCGUGAUGAGAUAGAGGCUGCCUUCUCCACCUGGGAUCGGGGAAAGGCGACCAUGCCUCUCACUCUCGCGCUCAAAGUCCUGCGACCGUGCCAGUCGCUGCUGGACGUCAUGGUGAACGAGGCGGCUAUCCGCUCCGACGAGUUGAACGGGUGGUUCAUUCGUUUUUGCCGCCGUCGAGUCGCGUGGCGCGUCCUUCACGAACACCUUCUGUACUUGACUCAUCCGGCCGACACGCAGCAGGUCAUCUCAUCCGACACAGACGUGGUGGAAGUGCUGCAGCGCGCCGGCAUCGCCGUUGUUGAAAUUUUCUCGAGCCUCGUCGACAACGGCAGCGUGCUCUCGCUAGAGAUUCAUCUGGAGGAGGACAAACGUAUCCUCACCCGCGUCCCCUGUGGCACGUUGGUGAGCUCCUCUACAUCGCCCCUCUCGUGCCCGGCAGAUUUGCCGGAGACUCGCCCGACCCCAGCCCCGUCACGGGGCAUCUACUCGGUGGAAGGCCACCUGACGUACAUCUUCCGCGAGGUGCUCAAGAACGCCUGUGCGGCAACACUCAAGUUGAGGCCUGAUAUUGACGUGCUCGUCCGAUACGCCAGCGACGAUACGUGGGUGGUGGUGGAGUUCGUUGACCAAGCCGGUGGAAUUCACCCACAGCACUUCAAGAAUAUCUGGAAGUUCGGCUGGACGACGAGUGAGCACUACGAAAGCCAUCUGGGCGGCUUCGGUGUCGGGCUGCCCACGUCGAAGGUGUACAUGGGCAUGUGGGGCGGCUCCAUCGACGUUUACUCCACCCUUGGCGUCGAGACGACGGUGCGUGUGCGCUUCCCUAAAGCGCCAGUCGAGGUGCUCGUGCCUGAGUCAACCACGGCGGCCGCCGGCGUGUCGGCCGCGCCGAAAUGAUGGAAACGCGCUUGACUACGCACUCCUCCGUGCGUGCGCCAUGGGAAGGAUGAAUACGUCAGUCGGGUGCAUCGACGCUGAGACCUUGCACGUAUGGUUAGUGGCGUUGUGCCGGGCACUCGGCAAACUCGUUUCUUACACUUCAUGUUUCUCAAUUGGCGGCUCUGCGCAUGCAUGCUCAAGGACGCAGAUGUGUGGCUCGCGCGCAAGAGG
RNAcentral lists this unclassified non-coding RNA (2027 nucleotides) under Leishmania donovani. RNAcentral describes it as "gene:LdHU3.34.5980(CDS-product:Histidine_kinase-_ DNA_gyrase_B-_and_HSP90-like_ATPase_putative)". Lineage: Eukaryota; Euglenozoa; Kinetoplastea; Trypanosomatida; Trypanosomatidae. The record is from RNAcentral.